ACACGACUACAUUAGAUACCCCGGUAGUCCCAGCCGUAAACGAUGCGCGUUAGGUGUGUCGGUGACCACGAGUCACCGAGGUGCCGAAGGGAAACCGUGAAACGUGCCGCCUGGGAAGUACGGUCGCAAGGCUGAAACUUAAAGGAAUUGGCGGGGAGCACCACAACGGGUGGAGCCUGCGGUUUAAUUGGACUCAACGCCGGGAAGCUCACCGGAUAAGACAGCGGAAUGAUUGCCGGGCUGAAGACUCUGCAUGACUAGCUG
Molecule: ribosomal RNA, 264 nt
Filed under: uncultured archaeon
Lineage: Archaea
Description: partial 16S ribosomal RNA
Rfam family: Archaeal small subunit ribosomal RNA
Source: RNAcentral